This 119-nucleotide ribosomal RNA is filed under the name Anolis carolinensis (green anole). The record is from RNAcentral. Lineage: Eukaryota; Metazoa; Chordata; Lepidosauria; Squamata; Anolidae.
AACGAAGGCCAAAAUACCCUAAAGGCGCCAGAUUUCCUUUGAUCUUGGAAGCUAAGCAGGGUCAGCCUUGAUUAGUACUUGAACUGGAGACUGCCAACAAAUACCAGGUGCUAUAGGCU